AGAAACUAACAAGGAUUCCCCUAGUAACUGCGAGUGAAGCGGGAAAAGCUCAAAUUUAAAAUCUGGUGGCCUUUGGUCAUCCGAGUUGUAAUUUAGAGAAGCGUCUUCCGCGCUGGACCGUGCACAAGUCUCCUGGAAUGGAGCGUCGUAGAGGGUGAGAAUCCCGUCUUUGGCACGGACGCCCAGUGCUUCUGUGAUGCGCUCUCGAARAGUCRAGUUGUUUGGGAAUGCAGCUCAAAAUGGGUGGUGAACUCCAUCUAAAGCUAAAUAUUGGCGAGAGACCGAUAGCGAACAAGUACCGUGAGGGAAAGAUGAAAAGCACUUUGGAAAGAGAGUGAAACAGUACGUGAAAUUGUUGAAAGGGAAACGCUUGAAGUCAGUCGCGUCGUCCGAGACUCAGCCUCGCCUCGGCUUGGUGUACUUCUCGGCCGACGGGUCAGCAUCAAUUUUGCCCCUUGGAUAAUGGCGAGGGAAAUGUGACACCUUUGCGGGUGUGUUAUAGUCUCUAGUCGCAUGCAAGGGUCGGGAUUGAGGAACUCAGCACGCGCCUUCGGGCGUCGGGGUUCGCCCACGAUACGUGCUUAGGAUGUUGGCGUAAUGGCUUUAAACGACCCGUCUUGAAACACGGACCAAGGAGUCUAACAUGCCCGCGAGUGUUCGGGUGGAAAACCCGUGCGCGCAAUGAAAGUGAAAGUUGGGACCUCCGUCGUGGAGGGCACCAACGCCCGGACCAGACCUUCUGUGACGGAUCUGCGGUAGAGCGUGUAUGUUAGGACCCGAAAGAUGGUGAACUAUGCCUGAAUAGGGUGAAGCCAGAGGAAACUCUGGUGGAGGCUCGUAGCGAUUCUGACGUGCAAAUCGAUCGUCAAAUUUGGGUAUAGGGGCGAAAGACUAAUCGAACCAUC
Molecule: ribosomal RNA, 905 nt
Filed under: Russula sp.
Lineage: Eukaryota; Fungi; Basidiomycota; Agaricomycetes; Russulales; Russulaceae
Description: partial large subunit ribosomal RNA
Source: RNAcentral